RNAcentral lists this transfer RNA (73 nucleotides) under Ictidomys tridecemlineatus (thirteen-lined ground squirrel). RNAcentral's name for it is "Spermophilus tridecemlineatus (thirteen-lined ground squirrel) tRNA". It matches the Rfam family "tRNA". Rfam says of the family: Transfer RNA (tRNA) molecules are approximately 80 nucleotides in length. Their secondary structure includes four short double-helical elements and three loops (D, anti-codon, and T loops). Lineage: Eukaryota; Metazoa; Chordata; Mammalia; Rodentia; Sciuridae. The record is from Rfam by way of RNAcentral.
GUGGAUAUAGCUCAGAUGGUAGAGUGCUUGUCUCACUCUGCACAAGGCCCUGGGUUCAAUCCCCAGCACCACA